RNAcentral lists this ribosomal RNA (1338 nucleotides) under uncultured bacterium. RNAcentral describes it as "bacterial SSU rRNA". It matches the Rfam family "Bacterial small subunit ribosomal RNA", at positions 28 to 1381 of the family's 1533-position model. The record is from RNAcentral.
GACGAACGCUGGCGGCGUGCUUAACACAUGCAAGUCGAACGGAAAGGCCCUUCGGGGUACUCGAGUGGCGAACGGGUGAGUAACACGUGGGUGAUCUGCCCUGCACUUUGGGAUAAGCCUGGGAAACUGGGUCUAAUACCGAAUAGGACCGCGCUCUUCAUGGGGUGUGGUGGAAAGCUUUUGCGGUGUGGGAUGGGCCCGCGGCCUAUCAGCUUGUUGGUGGGGUAAUGGCCUACCAAGGCGACGACGGGUAGCCGGCCUGAGAGGGUGACCGGCCACACUGGGACUGAGAUACGGCCCAGACUCCUACGGGAGGCAGCAGUGGGGAAUAUUGCACAAUGGGCGCAAGCCUGAUGCAGCGACGCCGCGUGAGGGAUGACGGCCUUCGGGUUGUAAACCUCUUUCAGUACCGACGAAGCGCAAGUGACGGUAGGUACAGAAGAAGGACCGGCCAACUACGUGCCAGCAGCCGCGGUAAUACGUAGGGUCCGAGCGUUGUCCGGAAUUACUGGGCGUAAAGAGCUCGUAGGUGGUUUGUCGCGUUGUUCGUGAAAACUCACAGCUUAACUGUGGGCGUGCGGGCGAUACGGGCAGACUAGAGUACUGCAGGGGAGACUGGAAUUCCUGGUGUAGCGGUGGAAUGCGCAGAUAUCAGGAGGAACACCGGUGGCGAAGGCGGGUCUCUGGGCAGUAACUGACGCUGAGGAGCGAAAGCGUGGGGAGCGAACAGGAUUAGAUACCCUGGUAGUCCACGCCGUAAACGGUGGGUACUAGGUGUGGGUUUCCUUCCUUGGGAUCCGUGCCGUAGCUAACGCAUUAAGUACCCCGCCUGGGGAGUACGGCCGCAAGGCUAAAACUCAAAGGAAUUGACGGGGGCCCGCACAAGCGGCGGAGCAUGUGGAUUAAUUCGAUGCAACGCGAAGAACCUUACCUGGGUUUGACAUGCACAGGACGUGCCUAGAGAUAGGUAUUCCCUUGUGGCCUGUGUGCAGGUGGUGCAUGGCUGUCGUCAGCUCGUGUCGUGAGAUGUUGGGUUAAGUCCCGCAACGAGCGCAACCCUUGUCUCAUGUUGCCAGCACGUUAUGGUGGGGACUCGUGAGAGACUGCCGGGGUCAACUCGGAGGAAGGUGGGGAUGACGUCAAGUCAUCAUGCCCCUUAUGUCCAGGGCUUCACACAUGCUACAAUGGCCGGUACAAAGGGCUGCGAUGCCGUAAGGUGGAGCGAAUCCUUUCAAAGCCGGUCUCAGUUCGGAUCGGGGUCUGCAACUCGACCCCGUGAAGUCGGAGUCGCUAGUAAUCGCAGAUCAGCAACGCUGCGGUGAAUACGUUCCCGGGCCU